Molecule: ribosomal RNA, 1034 nt
Filed under: uncultured delta proteobacterium
Lineage: Bacteria; Deltaproteobacteria
Description: bacterial SSU rRNA
Rfam family: Bacterial small subunit ribosomal RNA
Source: RNAcentral
GUAAAGUGGCGCACGGGUGAGUAACGCGUGGGUAAUCUACCUCUGAAUCGGGGAUAACAUUGCGAAAGCGAUGCUAAUACCGGAUAAUAUCUAAGAAACUUCGGUUUUCUGGAUCAAAGAUGGCCUCUAUAUAUAAGCUAUUGCUUGGAGAUGAGCCCGCGUACCAUUAGCUUGUUGGUAGGGUAAUGGCCUACCAAGGCCGCGAUGGUUAGCUGGUCUGAGAGGAUGAUCAGCCACACUGGAACUGACACACGGUCCAGACUCCUACGGGAGGCAGCAGUGAGGAAUUUUGCCCAAUGGGGGAAACCCUGAGGCAGCAACGCCGCGUGAGUGAUGAAGGCUUUCGGGUCGUAAAACUCUGUCGAGUGGGAAGAACAUGCUUCAUAUUAAUACUAUGUUGCACUGACGGUACCACUGAAGGAAGCACCGGCUAACUCCGUGCCAGCAGCCGCGGUAAUACGGGGGGUGCAAGCGUUAUUCGGAAUUAUUGGGCGUAAAGGGCGCGUAGGCGGUCUUUUAGUCAGAUGUGAAGCCGGGGCUCAACCCCGGAAGUGCAUCUGAACUAAAAGACUUGAGUAUGGGAGAGGGAAGUGGAAUUCCUGGUGUAGAGGUGAAAUUCGUAGAUAUCAGGAGGAACACCGGUGGCGAAGGCGACUUCCUGGACCAAUACUGACGCUAAGGCGCGAAGGCGUGGGGAGCAAACAGGAUUAGAUACCCUGGUAGUCCACGCAGUAAACGUUGAACACUAGGUGUAGCGGGUAUUGACCCCUGCUGUGCCGCAGUUAACGCAGUAAGUGUUCCGCCUGGGGAGUACGAUCGCAAGAUUAAAACUCAAAGGAAUUGACGGGGGCCCGCACAAGCGGUGGAGCGUGUGGUUUAAUUCGACGCAACGCGAAGAACCUUACCUGGAUUUGACAUCCCGAGAAGUCUUUCGAAAGUUUGAUGUGCCCUUCGGGGAACUCGGUGACAGGUGCUGCAUGGCUGUCGUCAGCUCGUGUCGUGAGAUGUUGGGUUAAGUCCCGCAACGAGCGCAA